Long non-coding RNA from Saccostrea echinata, 391 nucleotides. RefSeq lists it as uncharacterized. NCBI's taxonomy places the organism in Eukaryota, Metazoa, Mollusca, Bivalvia, Ostreida, Ostreidae. The transcript is spliced from 5 exons. The record is from RefSeq and is a predicted model, not a curated record.
UGAGAUGCACAUCGCUACUUUCGUAACCAUUCUCUUGUUGAUUCCUGCUGGCCCGGUCACCAUCCCGGCACUGCCAGACAUAUAUGAAUUUGCAGAGGGCAUGUGGAACAUGACGACACAAGCUUCUUGGCACGUUUCGAAAACAGACACUUGAUGUUGAAGAUGGAUGCUGAAUUCAAAACUCUAGAAGAAAGGCGAACAGAGAAUGAGAGAGCAUUGACUGACACGGAAAAUAAAUCUAAAGCCUUAUCAAUGUGGAUUAAUGUCUACACGUCCGAACUGUCCAGAAAGUUAGAAGUGCAGUCUGCUGGACAGUUUGUCCGUCGAUCCCUCAAACGACAGAAAUUGUUGUGAAUGGACUAUUUGUUGAAGCAUUUUAUUGUUGAUUAAA